RNAcentral lists this ribosomal RNA (320 nucleotides) under uncultured Prevotella sp. RNAcentral describes it as "bacterial SSU rRNA". It matches the Rfam family "Bacterial small subunit ribosomal RNA", at positions 28 to 339 of the family's 1533-position model. The record is from RNAcentral. Lineage: Bacteria; Pseudomonadati; Bacteroidota; Bacteroidia; Bacteroidales; Prevotellaceae.
GAUGAACGCUAGCUACAGGCUUAACACAUGCAAGUCGAGGGGCAGCAUGCAGGUAGCUUGCUAUCUGUGAUGGCGACCGGCGCACGGGUGAGUAACGCGUAUCCAACCUUCCCCGUAGUAGGGCACAGCCCGGCGAAAGUCGGAUUAAUUCCCUAUGUUGUCCGAUGCAGGCAUCUAAGUUGGACGAAAGAUUCAUCGCCGAGGGAUGGGGAUGCGUAGGAUUAGGUAGUCGGCGGGGUAACGGCCCACCGAGCCAUCGAUCCUUAGGGGUUCUGAGAGGAAGGUCCCCCACACUGGAACUGAGACACGGUCCAGACUCC